UAUCUCUGUAGAGUCUGCAUAUCAAUAAGCGGAGGAAAAGAAACUAACUAGGAUUCCCUCAGUAACGGCGAGUGAAGCGGGAAGAGCUCAAAUUUGAAAUCUUCAAGGUUUUACCUUGACGAAUUGUAGUUUAAAGAAGUGUUUUCUGUUGAAGUUUCGGUAAAAGUUCUUUGGAAUAGGACAUCAUAGAGGGUGAGAAUCCCGUAUUUGACCAGUUACUUUCAGCGUUGUGAUACACUUUCAAAGAGUCGGAUUGUUUGGGAAUGCAGUCCAAAAUGGGUGGUAAAUUUCAUCUAAAGCUAAAUAUUGGCGAGAGACCGAUAGCGAACAAGUACCGUGAGGGAAAGAUGAAAAGAACUUUGAAAAGAGAGUUAAACAGUACGUGAAAUUGUCAAAAGGGAAGCGUUUGACACCAGUGUUGUUUUCUCGAAAAUCAAUUAAAAAGUGUUGGAUUUUGUGUUGUUAAGACCUUAUCAGCUUACUGUACUUUUUUCCUGCUCUUUUUAAUGCACUUUUCGUUUAACAAGUCAACAUCAAUUUCUUUUGUUGUAAAAGGGUCAUUGGAAGGUGGCUUUCUUUUCGGAGAAAGUGUUUAUAGCCUUUGACUCCUGCAAUCGGAGAGACUGAGGUCUGCAGCGUAGAUCCUUCGGGGCUAGAUACGUAGAUGCUAAGUUAUAGUUUUUUAUAGACAACUUGUUGACUAUAAUUAAUCAUGUAGCUUACUCGUUUGCGCUAUUUUACCUACGCUUAGGAUGUUGAUCUCUCACAGUCGAGC
Molecule: ribosomal RNA, 775 nt
Filed under: uncultured Neocallimastigales
Lineage: Eukaryota; Fungi; Neocallimastigomycota; Neocallimastigomycetes; Neocallimastigales
Description: partial large subunit ribosomal RNA
Rfam family: Eukaryotic large subunit ribosomal RNA
Source: RNAcentral